AUUUCCCUUUAAAACCUCUUAAAAUUGAUUUGUAAAGAUUGAUUAUGAAAAAGAAAAUGUGAGUUUUAAAAAAAUAUGCACUUUUAGUUGGUUCGUAAUGUAGCCAAUAGGGUUGAGUCUUGAAUGUGAGUAGAACCAAUCAGAAUGUAGAGUGUUACACGGUGGAGGAGCUCACUUCCGGGUUCGCGUAAAAUGUGCGUUCAGUUUGAGAAGCAGCUCUCUCCCGUGUGCACGCUGCAUGUGAAUGCUGUGUGGGAAAAUACUAGAGAAAAGAGAAGAAAUAUGGAGAAAUACUGUGCUUAAAACCGUUUUGAGUGUGGAUUGAAGAUAAAAGAAACUGAGUUAAAGGAGUCGAGUUACAUCCGGGUCUUUCUGGAGUGUUCUGUGAUUUUGUCGAUCUCCUUGGCCAGGUUUUUUUUGUUUUUGGUUUUUGUUUGUUCUUAUAUCUUUCCAUGCGCUGAUGCUGGAGCUGUUGAUGUUUUCUGGAUUUGUCCCAGCCUUCUGUGAGUUUUGAGGGUUUGGACUGGCGAGCCGUCCCCGAGUCUUACUUCGAUUUUCUGUGAUGCAUAGGAAAACUGUUUGCACAUCUGAACACCACAUAUAUGGUAGGACACUGAAACACUUUUUCUUGUUUCACUUGGAUGGAUUCUGUCUUCCCGUAGACAGAUAACACACACAAUUCAUCUUUAUGGACUACCUUAAGGACUGAGAAACUGAAAAAAGGGUUUACACUGAACUAAUUACAUUUCAUUGAACUAUUGUACAUUGUUUUAAAUUACAGUGUUUUUG
Long non-coding RNA from Paramisgurnus dabryanus, 789 nucleotides. RefSeq lists it as uncharacterized. The record is from RefSeq and is a predicted model, not a curated record. Lineage: Eukaryota; Metazoa; Chordata; Actinopteri; Cypriniformes; Cobitidae.